UACGAGUGCCUCAAGCGUUAUCCGGAAUCAUUGGGCGUAAAGGUUGUGUAGGUGGUUGUAUUAGUCUUCUGUUAAAUUCUUCGGCUUAACCGGGGGCAUGCAGGGGAAACGGUACAACUAGAGGAUGCGAGGGGUCUGUGGAAUUCAUAGUGUAGCGGUAAAAUGCGUUGAUACUAUGGAGAACACCAAAAGCGAAGGCAGCAGACUGGAGCACUCCUGACACUGAAACAAGAAAGCGUGGGUCGCGAAUGGG
Molecule: ribosomal RNA, 253 nt
Filed under: uncultured bacterium
Lineage: Bacteria
Description: partial 16S ribosomal RNA
Rfam family: Bacterial small subunit ribosomal RNA
Source: RNAcentral